AAGAUGGCAUCAUCAAUGAAUCAAAGUUCCGGCGGUUAUAGAUGGGCAUGCGUGACAUUAGCUAGUUGGUGAGGUAGAGGCUCACCAAGGCGACGAUGUCUAGGGGGUCUGAGAGGAUGAUCCCCCACACUGGUACUGAGACACGGACCAGACUCCUACGGGAGGCAGCAGUGAGGAAUAUUGCGCAAUGGAGGAAACUCUGACGCAGCCAUCCCGCGUGCAGGAUUGACGGNCCUAUGGGUUGUAAACUGCUUUUCUAUACCAAGAAACACCGAUACGUGUAUCGGUUUGCCGGUAGUAUAGGAAUAAGCAUCGGCUAACUCCGUGCCAGCAGCCGCGGUAAUACGGAGGAUGCAAGCGUUAUCCGGAAUCACUGGGUUUAAAGGGUGCGCAGGCGGAAUAGUAAGUCAGAGGUGAAAGCCCACAGCUCAACUGUGGAAUUGCCUUUGAUACUGUUAUUCUUGAGUGUAGUUGAAGUAGGCGGAAUAUAGCAUGUAGCGGUGAAAUGCCAUAGAUAUGCUAUAGAACACCAAUUGCGAAGGGCAGCUUGCUAAACUAUAACUGACGCUGAGGCACGAAAGCGUGGGGAGCGAACAGGAUUAGAUACCCCUGGUAGUCCACGCCGUAAACUAUGAACACUCGCUGUUGGCAAUACACAGUCAGCGGCUGAGCGAAAGCGUUAAGUGUUCCACCUGGGAAGUACGAUCGCAAGGUUGAACUCAAAGAAUUGACGGGGGCCCGCACAAGCGGAGGAGCAUGUGGUUUAAUUCGAUGAUACGCGAGGAACCUUACCUGGGCUUAAAUGU
RNAcentral lists this ribosomal RNA (806 nucleotides) under uncultured organism. RNAcentral's name for it is "bacterial SSU rRNA". It matches the Rfam family "Bacterial small subunit ribosomal RNA", at positions 182 to 988 of the family's 1533-position model. The record is from RNAcentral.